This 497-nucleotide ribosomal RNA is filed under the name uncultured bacterium. Its description in RNAcentral is "partial 16S ribosomal RNA". It matches the Rfam family "Bacterial small subunit ribosomal RNA", at positions 28 to 507 of the family's 1533-position model. The record is from RNAcentral.
GAUGAACGCUGGCGGCGUGCCUAAUACAUGCAAGUCGAGCGAACAGACGAGGAGCUUGCUCCUCUGACGUUAGCGGCGGACGGGUGAGUAACACGUGGAUAACCUACCUAUAAGACUGGGAUAACUUCGGGAAACCGGAGCUAAUACCGGAGAAUAUAUUGAACCGCAGGGUUCAAUAGUGAAAGACGGUUUUGCUGUCACUUAUAGAUGGAUCCGCGCCGCAUUGGCUAGUUGGUAAGGUAACGGCUUACCAAGGCAACGAUGCGUAGCCGACCUGAGAGGGUGAUCGGCCACACUGGAACUGAGACACGGUCCAGACUCCUACGGGAGGCAGCAGUAGGGAAUCUUCCGCAAUGGGCGAAAGCCUGACGGAGCAACGCCGCGUGAGUGAUGAAGGUCUUCGGAUCGUAAAACUCUGUUAUUGGGGAAGAACAAAUGUGUAAGUAACUAUGCACGUCUUGACGGUACCUAAUCAGAAAGCCACGGCUAACUACGUG